This is a non-coding RNA of Suillus occidentalis, 80 nucleotides long. The record is from the annotation of a GenBank genome assembly. Lineage: Eukaryota; Fungi; Basidiomycota; Agaricomycetes; Boletales; Suillaceae.
GGGCACUUGGCACAGUUGGUAGCGCGCACGCUUCGCAUAAAGAUUGCGUGAGGUCGUGGGUUCAACUCCCACAGUGUCCA